RNAcentral lists this ribosomal RNA (461 nucleotides) under uncultured bacterium. RNAcentral's name for it is "bacterial SSU rRNA". It matches the Rfam family "Bacterial small subunit ribosomal RNA", at positions 420 to 882 of the family's 1533-position model. The record is from RNAcentral.
GGGUUGUAAACUUCUUUUAUAAAGGAAUAAAGUCGGGUAUGCAUACCCGUUUGCAUGUACUUUAUGAAUAAGGAUCGGCUAACUCCGUGCCAGCAGCCGCGGUAAUACGGAGGAUCCGAGCGUUAUCCGGAUUUAUUGGGUUUAAAGGGAGCGUAGAUGGAUGUUUAAGUCAGUUGUGAAAGUUUGCGGCUCAACCGUAAAAUUGCAGUUGAUACUGGAUAUCUUGAGUGCAGUUGAGGCAGGCGGAAUUCGUGGUGUAGCGGUGAAAUGCUUAGAUAUCACGAAGAACUCCGAUUGCGAAGGCAGCCUGCUAAGCUGCAACUGACAUUGAGGCUCGAAAGUGUGGGUAUCAAACAGGAUUAGAUACCCUGGUAGUCCACACGGUAAACGAUGAAUACUCGCUGUUUGCGAUAUACAGCAAGCGGCCAAGCGAAAGCGUUAAGUAUUCCACCUGGGGAGUA